RNAcentral lists this ribosomal RNA (253 nucleotides) under uncultured bacterium. Its description in RNAcentral is "partial 16S ribosomal RNA". It matches the Rfam family "Bacterial small subunit ribosomal RNA", at positions 524 to 776 of the family's 1533-position model. The record is from RNAcentral.
UACAGAGGGUGCGAGCGUUGUUCGGAAUUAUUGGGCGUAAAGCGCACGUAGGCGGCUUUGCAAGUCGGAUGUGAAAGCCCUCGGCUCAACCAAGGAAGUGCAUCCGAAACUGCAGAGCUUGAGUACUUAAGAGGAUCGCGGAAUUCCCGGUGUAGAGGUGAAAUUCGUAGAUAUCGGGAGGAACACCAGUGGCGAAGGCGGCGAUCUGGGAAGGUACUGACGCUCAGGUUCGAAAGCGUGGGGAGCAAACAGG